This 493-nucleotide ribosomal RNA is filed under the name uncultured bacterium. RNAcentral describes it as "partial 16S ribosomal RNA". It matches the Rfam family "Bacterial small subunit ribosomal RNA", at positions 28 to 505 of the family's 1533-position model. The record is from RNAcentral.
GACGAACGCUGGCGGCGUGCCUAAUACAUGCAAGUAGAACGCUGAAGGAGGAGCUUGCUUCUCUGGAUGAGUUGCGAACGGGUGAGUACCGCGUAGGUAACCUGCCUGGUAGCGGGGGAUAACUAUUGGAAACGAUAGCUAAUACCGCAUAAUAUUGACUAUUGCAUGAUAGUCAGUUGAAAGGUGCAACUGCACCACUACCAGAUGGACCUGCGUUGUAUUAGCUAGUUGGUGGGGUAACGGCUCACCAAGGCGACGAUACAUAGCCGACCUGAGAGGGUGAUCGGCCACACUGGGACUGAGACACGGCCCAGACUCCUACGGGAGGCAGCAGUAGGGAAUCUUCGGCAAUGGACGGAAGUCUGACCGAGCAACGCCGCGUGAGUGAAGAAGGUUUUCGGAUCGUAAAGCUCUGUUGUAAGAGAAGAACGAGUGUGAGAGUGGAAAGCUCACACUGUGACGGUAUCUUACCAGAAAGGGACGGCUAACUACG